CCCACCGGCCACCGCUCUCGUCCAAACCCCGCGCCGCCAGCUUCUCCCUCCCCGCCAUCUUGGACGGCGAGAAGCACAAUGCCAGGGCGUCAAAGCCGCACCCGACCCUUGCCCUCCGGCCCGCCCAAGUGGUGCCCGCGCGUGAUGCGGGACCCCGAGCCCGACUCCGCCGCGGCAGAUCGCGGUCCUCCGGCCACCGCAGACGACGGGCCUCGCGCUUCGACCCAGGUUGGAUCUAUCCCUUUGGCGGCGGCGGAUGAUGCUCCCCAGCACCGCUCGCCGUCCCUCCGUAACCCGCAUCGUCUUCACCAAUUAGCGGCACCAGGUCCCGCCGGUAGGAGGAGGACCAACGGCGCGCCCGGGCCUACCUCUCCGCUUCCUUCGUCGGGCGUCAGCGUCACAACCGUGCCGGGUUUGCGGCAACCGGCUCCGGCUGCCACUGCCGCGGCCCACAGCCACAGGCGCACGCCGCGGACGACGCCAUCUCCUGCGCGAGCGGACACCCCAUCUCCCCCGCCCGGUAGCCGCCCCUCCUCGUCUGCUUCCUCAUCUCGCAUGUCAUGGACUUCAAGCGGGAGUUCGGCUAGGAGCUUUGCAGAUGUCGUCAAAGGCCCAGCCAAUCACGACCCUUGGGCCAAACUUUCAUCACGACUUCUCAGUUUUCUAAAAAGCGAAGUAACUUGCACCAUCUACUCAGAAAUGUCUGCCUACAACAAGGGAUCAAUCAUCUCGAUGAGGGACGCAGCAAGUUUCAAUCUUAAGAUGGCCUUGAAGCACCUUUGCGAAUAUGAUAGGGAACUAGCCUAUGCCAUUCGUAAUUGUCAGGAUAGAUUCGAUGAAUGGUUGUCUCCAACUCUAUCCCAGUUCCUAAUCAGCGAAGGGAUUGUGAAGAAUGCAGUUCUAAUAACGAGUGUUACUUUCUAUAAAAUGCCCGAUAGCAUCAAACCUCUUUCAGAUUUCUUAGCAGAGCAUGGGUCAUUGACCACCAUUAAGCCAAUCUUUGGUGGGAGUUUCGAACUGUGCGUUGCACAUGACAAUGUUAUAAUGUUAGUCCAUGGCUUUCUGGUAGAGAUCUUUAAUAGCCACUCAGAAGGUUUUACCUGGAAUGGAAGAUUUAGCAUAACUGACAUGGUGAUGGUUAACCACACAAAGUGUAGGAUUACUAAGAUGCCAGUGCGAGGUGAAUACUGCAGAGCAGAGGACCUGCGCCAAUUUGGAAUGAUUUUCAUGCAAAUGUUCAGCUGUAAUAGAGAAAAGCCUUUAUACUUUGUUGAAUUGGAAAAAGAUUUGUGCAUGGCCAGUGAGGAGGAAGUAAAAGAGGAGUGGUUUCGGGAAUACCUCCUCUCACACCCGGCACUGAAACGAUCAAUGACACGCUACCACCUGGAGUGCGGAUUACAGCAUGCUGCAAAAACCUUUGGAGGCCCAGGCACGCUAAUUGAAUCUGUUUUAGGGGUUUCCAGUGACUGGAAGGCAAUUAUCCCAACUAAAUCAACCAGAAGCACACCUACAAACAGCUUGUAUAGGGUUUUCUGGUACAAUGGUGAGCAUAUUAAGGAUCCUUUUCAGGCGACAGUUGGGGGUCUGCUUGCAUACAAAAGAAAUUAUCUGCAACACGGUCAUGAAUAUGUCAAGGUUGAGGACCACACUGAGUUAGAGCUAUUUGCAGCAAAAACCUUUUCCCAAGCUCUACCUAACAUUCUACGGAGGCUAUUGAAAUACUGCAAUAUUCACAUGAAUGGACCGCUCGCGGUGCACUGGGACACUUAUCGCACCUCAACAGUUGGCAAUGACGGUAAUACUGAAGAGAGAAGUGGUAUCUGCAUUACAUUUUGUGAAGAGGGGUCUCCAGCGGACAAUUCUGAGGGCUGUUUGGGAUGGAAGGGACCCAGUUUGGAGAGGACACCCUUCCAUCCCAGCAAGGAUUAAAGAAGGGCUGGCAGAGGAUCAUUAGAACCUGGAGCUGGCGUGCGUUAUGCAAGCACCAAAUCUCUUAAAGAUUUCAUACGGAAACGGACACUGGCCAGUUACAAGUCAAUCUUUGGUGGUAAUUUUAAACUAUGCAUCGCGCUUGACACCAGCAUGAUGUUGUUCCAUGGCUUUCUGGUUCAGAUCUUUAAUAGACAUUUUAAAAAAUCUUACUUGGAAUGGAGAAUUUGACUUAAGUGAUAUGGUGGUGGAUAACUCCACGGAGUGCCUGAUUACUAAGGAGCCAAUGAGAGAUGAAUCUCACUGUAUAGCAGGAGACCUGCGCAAAAUUGCAGAUAUUUUCAUGCCAAUGUUCAAUUCUGGUGGAGAAAUGGCAUUGUACUUUGAUGUACUGCAAAAAGAUUUGAGCAAUGCUAGCGAGAAUGAAGUGAAAGAGAAACAGUUUCGGGAAUACAUCCUCUCACACCCCGCUCUGAAGGGAUCUGGUUUGUGGAUUGCAGUGUGCUGUGGAAAUUGGAGUUGAAGGCAGGCUAAUACGAUCAGUUUUAGAUGGAUGCAGUUACAGUGACUGGACGGCACUUAUCCCAACUGAACUUACCAAAAACAAACUUGUCGAAGAUAGCUUGCAUGAGGUUUUCUGGUUCAAGCACAAGUAUGAAGGUGUUGACAACCCUUACAGGAAUACACUUGGGGGGCUACUUGCAUACAUAAGAAAUUUCCUGCAACAUGGCCAUUAGUACGAGUAUCUCAGGGUUGGGGGGCUCGCUGAGCUAGAGCAAUUUGCAGCAAAAACCUUUCCCCGAGCUGUACCGGACAUUUUGAGUAAGCUAUUGAGGCACCGUAAAAUGCAUGAGAAUAAACUAUUUAUGGAGCCGUGGACACCUUAUCACGCCUCAAGAGUUGGCAACAAUGAUAAUACCAAAGGGAGAACUGACAUCUUUAUUUGAUUUAGUGAAGAGGGCAGGGUUUCUGGUGGACAAGGUCUGGUUGUUUUGGAUGGAAGGACUGAAGAAGAUCCUAGUUGAGGGGAUCUUGAGGCCAGCACUAAAGAGAGGUUGGCACAGGUUGAUUGGAAUGCUAUGAGGUGUGGUAAGUUAUGGGCAACUCUUUUUCUUGGUGAAGGUGGUUAUGUCUGACAGUCCAGAAUUUUUGUAGUCAAUGGUCUCUGAAGAGACGGGAGUUUUUGUUCUGUCUUUUCAGUGGUGUAGUAUAGCAGCUGGAUCGUCGUGUAUACGUACCGGCAAUGUAAAUAUUCUUCUUGUUAUGGUGUAAUCGUGUAAGUAAUAUGCUGUAUAGUACAUAUGAAAAAUUUAUGCUUGAACGGUAGAUACAGAAUUCAUUUUCUGUCAUGUUCUGAAAAUUUUGGUUGGAUUGGUUGGUUCCA
RNA transcript from Panicum virgatum (switchgrass), 3313 nucleotides. RefSeq lists it as uncharacterized. The record is from RefSeq and is a predicted model, not a curated record. NCBI's taxonomy places the organism in Eukaryota, Viridiplantae, Streptophyta, Magnoliopsida, Poales, Poaceae. The transcript is spliced from 9 exons.